GAGACACCUCAGGUUCUGACAUUUGGUGGAUGUGCUUGGCUGAGGAGUCAAUGGUGCAAAGCUUCCAUCUGCGGGCUUAUGGCAUGAA
Notothenia coriiceps (black rockcod) is the source of this 88-nucleotide long non-coding RNA. RefSeq lists it as uncharacterized. The record is from RefSeq and is a predicted model, not a curated record. Lineage: Eukaryota; Metazoa; Chordata; Actinopteri; Perciformes; Nototheniidae. The transcript has 3 exons.